RNAcentral lists this ribosomal RNA (253 nucleotides) under uncultured bacterium. RNAcentral describes it as "partial 16S ribosomal RNA". It matches the Rfam family "Bacterial small subunit ribosomal RNA", at positions 524 to 776 of the family's 1533-position model. The record is from RNAcentral.
UACAGAGGUCUCAAGCGUUGUUCGGAUUCAUUGGGCGUAAAGGGUGCGUAGGCGGCAAGGCAAGUCAGGUGUGAAAUCCCGGAGCUCAACUCCGGAACUGCACUUGAUACUGCCCUGCUAGAGUACUGGAGAGGAGACUGGAAUUUACGGUGUAGCAGUGAAAUGCGUAGAUAUCGUAAGGAAGACCAGUGGCGAAGGCGAGUCCCUGGACAGUUACUGACGCUGAGGCACGAAGGCCAGGGGAGCAAACGGG